Perca fluviatilis (European perch) is the source of this 1276-nucleotide long non-coding RNA. RefSeq lists it as uncharacterized. The transcript has 2 exons. The record is from RefSeq and is a predicted model, not a curated record. NCBI's taxonomy places the organism in Eukaryota, Metazoa, Chordata, Actinopteri, Perciformes, Percidae.
CUGUCCGUCAGUUGUUUGCUGCAAUCUUAGCUGUUCCUGCUACUUUUGAUGACGACUCCUUACCUUUGCCACUUUGGACUGCCCGCCUGUUGUCAAAACUCUGUUUUCAUGAACUGACAACUCUGGCCGAUUGCCUCGGCUGCAUGUGGCGCGAGUGACUGAAGAUGUUGGAACUCUCCACUACAGGGAUCCACCAGCAGGCCCACAGACCUGCAGUGCAGCGACGGCACCACGCCAACCUGUGCCCGGCUCCCACCACAGCUCCAUCCAAAACGUUUAAUCAAAAGGGACAUUCUCUCCACUUGGUCCCGCAAGGAAAUAGAAGUUGUUGAGCUGUUGGCCCAUGCUGUGCACCUUGGCAGCUCGACAAAGAAUAACCCAGAAUGGUCUACUCUCCGCUACAGCGCCAGGGCAUUGGAGAGGAGGCCAGUGAUACAAUCUGAAUUUUCCAACAGGCAAUUGAAGCUUUGGGGACAUGGUUGAUGGUGAUGUGUCCAACGGUGGCCUGAUCAGCCUUUCUGUCUGUUUAUCAUCUCCUCGAAACAGGGCCUGCAUGUCACUUCCAGCAGAUGUUGAUUCAAGUCCCUGAAUGAAUGUCAGGGGGGAAAAUUAUUGUAAUUUCACUCGUCAAGCAUGAUUGUAGCAUGUACCCCAAUAUUAAGGUCACCUUUUUCUGGCUGCACUGAUUCAUUUAGACACUGCUGUGCAAUUUCACUGUCAAACACAGACCACAUGUCUUACAUGUAUGUUUUUUUAUUUUACUUUUGAGGUUGCGUCUUUCCUUGUGUCAAAUUACAGAAAGCUAUUUUACACCUUUGCUUCAAAUUGUGAUGCAAUGAUAGUAAAACCUCAGGUUGAGUGUUUGACUCCCAUUGCACCAGUCUAUACAACCUGCGCUGAUAAGACUAUUGUACAUUUAGGUUCUUUAGAUAAGAGUCCACCUGAUAACUAAUAUUAUUAGUAGUUGCAGUCAGGGGCGUGGUAGUGUUGAGAGGGAAAGUGGAACUUAGUACCCAGUGCCCCAACAUAGGGAGCACCAUCAAAAAAGCUGAACAUUUUUAAUAUUCUGCUUCUAUGUUGCAGCAGACUGGGCUAGCAUCUGGUCCGAUGUGGUUUGUCAAGUCUGACUAUCAUGGUUUUUUUAUCUACAUCAUUGUUUGAAUGCAGAAAAUCACCUUUUUUUUAGAAUAAUAAAUAGAAUAAAGGUUUCACAGAGAUAAGUCAAAAUGUCAUCUGGACAGUAAAUAAUGACUGGCACACGGAAAAGGAAGUCUUU